CAUCUUACAGAUUUUUUGAAAUGAAGAGAAACAGGGGAAUUCUGUAAAUUUCUUCUUAUAUGCAAAUGAGCUGAAAAUGUAUUGAAAUGACUAGAUCAGAAGUUUAUGCCUUUCCAGUAAGUUUUUCCCUACCUUUGACGAUAGUUAUUAAAAAGUAUAGAUACCAACCUCUUUUCUGAUAUUAGUACCUAAAAUUUUCAGCCUGUGAAUAGCUGUGGAAAUUUGGGACUUCCUUUUUUUGAAGAUAUAAAUAGAUCUAAGCUAUAUUUAGACUAAAGUUUUUUUCAGUAUAACAGCAUGUAGAGAACCCUUACAUACAGUCAAAUAUUCUUGAUAUUGCAAGGAAAUAUAAUGCAUUUUUUAAGUGAUUGCUGUUUCUUAUGUUGUGCAUACUUGAUAUAGGUCAUUGUCAAUGUCAACUAUCAUUAUACUGACAUUUGAAGUUUUUUUUUCUAGAUUACCUCCAUUAUAUAUGCAUUUUUCUUCAUUCAUUUUAUUGAUAAUUGCUUCCCUUUAUGUUUAGCAAAAAUUCUUAGAUUGCAUUUAAUUAAGUCCCUUUAUUUAACAUGAAAAAUUCUCUUGUGUAAUGAUUAUUUGUAUAUUUUACUUACAGUGUCUGAUACAUGUAGUUGCAGUCUGUCUUUGGAAGCUGUAGAAAUAACAAGAAAGAGGCUGACAUAGUGUUUUGGUAGGGAAAAGUUUGAGUAUGUACAUGUACAGUUGUUUGACCUGUCUUACCAUGUGGCAGUCCAAGAAGAUGUUACCAUUAUGAAAAAUGCAGGAGAAGUGCUACAAGUGUGUUGUCAUGUGAAAUGGAAUUUACCCCAACUGUGUUGCAUGAUGUAUAUUCAAGUGCGAGACAGCCAUGCACCAGCUGUAAACUGAGAUGGACCCAUAUAAUAAAUAUGUUGACUUUUCUAUGUAUUAUCAUCUGUACAGAAUGUGUUCAUGACAAGACUGUAUACAUAUAUUGUUAAAUCAUUUUUUAUUUCCAUUAUUGCAUGCAUGUAAGAAGCAAGCAUUUAACAAUUGCAUUCAUAGAAAUGUUAAAAUGUGAUCAAUCUAAUUUAAAGAAACACAUUUAAUUGGACAUUUUAAGUUUCAUAGUAUUUGUGGUGGAGAAUGACCCAGACAUUCAGCAACUUAAACUGUCUGUGUGUCAUUUCUUGUUUGUUAUAGUUUUCUUAAUAAUACAUUAAAUGUCAAAGUUAUGGUAAGAUGAACUCAUUCAUCACUUGUAGAUUAAUGUUAAAGCAGUUCAACAUUUUACCAUAAGUUAACUAAUAUUCUAUUUAACCAGAGUUGUCACAUAUUUUCAUAUAAAUAUUUGUAUAAUACAGUCUAAUCUAAUCUAUAAAUGAUGUUCCACAAUUUUUUAGUUAUAUUUUAUGUUGAUAUUUUAUGUUGUUUUCAUGUCUCAACAUAUAAUUACUAACAUCAAAGAAACUUAAGUAUUUUACAAUUUGGUUGGUAUAAAUGGUUGUUUUGUUUAUACAUUUUAUUUUUUUCCAUCCAGGAGAAUAAAGAAAUAUACAUUUCAAAAUAUCUCAUCAUUCCAGAUAAGUACACUACAUAACCAAGAUAAAAGAAAUAAGAACAAAAUAUGUCGUGGAAUUUUAUUUUCAAAAAUUUGAUAUACAGUCUUUGUAGUAUUUACUUCUUUAGAUAUGUUGGACUGAAAUGGGAAUAACAACAUACUUUAAAUUUUUGUAGGCAUAAGUUAAUAUGGGAAUUAUUAACUUAACUUAACUUAAAAAGAUUUUAUCUCUCGGUUAUGCCAUCUGAGCUUUCAUAUUUUUCAACAUUGUCAUUGGCAACAAGGCUCGAAAUUAUUUGUUGUGUAUACCUUGCAUUCAUGUGUGAUAAAUGCUUUUAUGGUAUUCUUUAAUAUAAUUUAUGCUUUUCAUCUUACCAUGGAUUAAAAAAAAUAUAAAUUCAUUUGUGUGAAAAUUAAGGUAAAAUACUGACUGAUUAAAUUGCAAUAUAAGAAAGCUUAUUUGAGAUAAAGGGAGGUAAUUCCAUAAAAAAAAUAUGUAGAAUGUAGAUGAUAAAUGUAAUGAAGGGAGGUAAUAAAAUAUUGUGAAGUUACUAGUCUUCAUUUCUUUGAUGAGCUAAUUAAUUGUUUUACAUUUUGGUUUAUUAACUACAAGUAUGACCUAACAUGUGUACCUGUCCUGAAGGAAAAUAAAAAAGGUUGUUUGAUGUCCUUGUACUUUAAGUUGUUCCUGUAUUUGUUUACAUUCCAUGUCUAAAUGAAAUGAAGAAACAAACUUUAAUGAGGGUAUCCCGGGAAAAUACCUAAGUUUAUUUUUAUAUCAGCAAAUUUGAUGAGAUAGUCAUUCGGAGUUGUCUAUCCUAUUUCCAAAAAUGCUAUGGGGACUAAAUUUUUUUGGAGUAAAUAUCUCUUUUAAAGAAUAACAAACAGCAUUUUAAUAUUGUAUAUAUAUUAUCUGAUGCACUUAGCAAUAUAUAUCUGGAGUCAAAAUGUGAAAAAAUCCGGUUUUAAUUUUUUUAGUUACAAUGUCUAUGUAUUAUGCCUUUUUAGGCGGGUAAUUUGUUAUAUAUUAAUUUCAGAAGCAUCUAUAUAGGUUUGUCAAGAUUUUUAUACAUGAAAUGAUAUGGGGAAUAUGCAGAAGGUCAGUUCCUGAAAAUUUAAACAACCCUGAAUUACUUCACUCCAGUUAUAUAUCCAAAAGUAGGAAAACAGCUAAACCAAAUUCAGCACUGUGAUGUAACACAGCUGCAACAUGAUACAAGUAUCCAUGCAUAAACAUGCAUAAACAAUUACUUGCAAUUUCAUUAUACAGUUGUUUAACUUUGAUUUUGAUUGAACAAUAAGACUGCCAGGAGUUGUACUUAAAUCCAUAGCCCUUUGAACAUAAACGUCAAGCAUACUAUAAUCAACUAAGUUU
Molecule: long non-coding RNA, 2912 nt
Organism: Mercenaria mercenaria
Lineage: Eukaryota; Metazoa; Mollusca; Bivalvia; Venerida; Veneridae
Exons: 3
Source: RefSeq, a predicted model, not a curated record